RNAcentral lists this ribosomal RNA (253 nucleotides) under uncultured bacterium. Its description in RNAcentral is "partial 16S ribosomal RNA". It matches the Rfam family "Bacterial small subunit ribosomal RNA", at positions 524 to 776 of the family's 1533-position model. The record is from RNAcentral.
UACGUAGGGGGCAAGCGUUGUUCGGAAUUACUGGGCGUAAAGGGCGCGUAGGCGGCAUGGCAAGUCAGGAGUGAAAGGCCUGGGCUCAACCGAGGAACUGCUUUUGAUACUGCCAAGCUAGAGUGCGGAAGGGGCAACUGGAAUUCCCAGUGUAGCGGUGAAAUGCGUAGAUAUUGGGAAGAACACCUGAGGCGAAGGCGGGUUGCUGGGCCGACACUGACGCUGAGGCGCGAAAGCCAGGGGAGCAAACGGG